RNAcentral lists this long non-coding RNA (1697 nucleotides) under Homo sapiens (human). RNAcentral's name for it is "HSALNT0345260". The record is from RNAcentral. Lineage: Eukaryota; Metazoa; Chordata; Mammalia; Primates; Hominidae.
GUGAUGAGAGGAAGUGAGGAAAACGACAUAGGCAUUGUGACAUAGCAUUAGGCUAUUGCUAAUCUUCUGACCAUAGCUCAGAAGGGGGAUCAUCUCCUUCGGGUGAUGCUGGGUCACUGAGCCAUGGUGAUGUUAGUGGCUGGAUCUCAGAAGCAUAUGAUUUCAAUAACUAAUGGGCAGACGUCUUGGGACGCAAAGGGCCAAGGCAUCAGAAACACUUGGUACCAGCUUCCACAGCAACAAUGAGAGGUAACCCCAGUGCUUCCACUACCAACAGGACAUUACCACUUGCAGGCAGAGAAACAGACAAGAAAAAUAGUGGAUGCCACAUAUUAGGACUCGUCUGAGACAUGAUGCAAGACUUUUUAGAAAGAAUUUGAGAUAAGAGAGUUUAAGACAUGUUUUUGCUCCUGGAGUCUGAAGAAGAUGGAGUUAGCAUUUUCACCACUUCUUUUGUCCGUCAAUUUCAAUGAUCUUCAGUUUGCAGCAGAUGCUGAAGUCAGCACAGUAUGUAAUUGCAUGUUCAUCAGCAUUGCACUUCAGUCUGCAAUGAUAAUAUUCUGAAGGACAUUCAUCAUUAGAAAUGAAGCUUCCGGCUUUAAGAGGAGAAGACAAAUUAUAUGACACAAUAUAUUUACUUUUUAUUUUUAAAGUCUGAAAUAUUUUAUAACAAAUUAAAAACAUUAAAGAACUUUCCCAGAAAAACAAAACAACAGCAAAAGAAUGCAAGAGAAAAAGUGGAGAUGCUGAAUAAAGACAAACGAUGCUUUCUUCUAUAAAGAGAGGAGUAAAUGAGGCAGUAGCUGGAAAUGAGUGAUAAAGCUAAAAUGAGACUCCCAGGGUAUGGCCCUCGUGCAAUAUGGCUGAUGUCCUUAUUAGAAGAGGAAGAGACACCAGGAAUGCAUGUGCACAGAAAAAAUGCCAUAAGAGGACAUAGCAAGAAGGCAACCAGCUGCAAGCCAAGACAGGCCUCAGGAGAAACCAAAUGUGCUGACAUCUUGAUCUUAGACUUAUAACAUCCACAACUGUGAGAAAAUGAACUUUUGUUAUUUAAGGCACCCAUUCUGUGGUACUUUCUUAUGAUAACCCUAUAGCAAUGCAAGAAUGGCCUAAUACAUCUAUAUUUAUAUUGGACAAAAUUGACUUUAAGCAAAAAAACAUAAAAAGAGACAAAGAAGGCCAUCAUAUAAUGAUAAAAGGGCCAAUUCAGCAAGAGGAUAUAAAAAUUCCAAAUAUGUAUAUAUAUGUACCCAGUAGUGGAAUACUUAGAUAUAUUAAAAAUGUCAUUAGAGGUAAAGAGAGAGAUACACCUCAACAUCAUGAUAACUGAGGGCUUCAAUACCCCACUUUCAGCAUUGAACAUUCAGCAUUCUAGGUAGAAAGCUAACAAAUAAUCAUCGAAUUUAAUCUGUACCGCAGACCAAAUAGACUUAACAGACAUUUACAGAACAUUUCAUCCAAUAGCAGUGGAGUACACAUUCUUCUCCUCAUCAGAUAGAACAUUCUCCAGGCUAGACCAUAUGUUAAGACACAAAACAAGUUUCAACAAAUUUUGAAAAAUCAACAUUAUAUCAAGUAUAUUCUAGACAAAAAUAGAAUAGAACUAGAAAUGAAUACUAGGAGGAACUUUGGAAACUAUACAGAUAACAUGGAAAUUAAACAACAUGCUUCUGAACAACCAUUGAGUCAAUGAGAAA